ACACAUGCAAGUCAGGGUAGCAAUACCCUGGCGCACGGGUGAGUAACACGUAGGUAAUCUACCCUUAACCCUGUGAUAACUCUGGGAAACUGGUGAUAAACACAGAUGAGGUCUUGAAAUUCGAGAUCAAAGCUUUAGGGCGGUUAAGGAUGAGCCUGCGUCUGAUUAGCUAGUUGGUGAGAUAAUAGCUCACCAAGGCAACGAUCAGUAGCUGGUCUGAGAGGACGAUCAGCCACACUGGAACUGAGACACGGUCCAGACUCCUACGGGAGGCAGCAGUGAGGAAUAUUGGUCAAUGGGGGAAACCCUGAACCAGCGACGCCGCGUGUAGGAUGAAUGAGCUUUGCUCUGUAAACUACUGUCGGAAGGAACGAAAAGCCCCCUCUGGGGGCUGGGACGGUACCUUCAAAGGAAGGGUCGGCUAACUACGUGCCAGCAGCCGCGGUAAUACGUAGGACCCAAGCGUUGUCCGGAUUUACUGGGUGUAAAGGGUGCGCAGGCGGGCUUGUGCGUCAGAGGUUAAAUACCACGGCUUAACCGUGGAAAUGCCUUUGAUACGGCAAGUCUUGAGUGCGAGAGAGGAUGGUGGAAUUCCUGGUGUAGCGGUGAAAUGCGUAGAUAUCAGAGGAACACCAGUGGCGAAAGCGGCCAUCUGGCUCGCAACUGACGCUCAGCACGAAAGCGUGGGGAGCAAACAGGAUUAGAUACCCUGGUAGUCCACGCCCUAACGAUGUAUGCUUUGUGUUGGGGAGAAUCUCAGUGCCGAGUACCCGUAGCAUACCACUGGGAGUACGAUCGCAAGUGAAACUCAAAGAAUGACGGGGGCC
RNAcentral lists this ribosomal RNA (827 nucleotides) under uncultured bacterium. RNAcentral's name for it is "bacterial SSU rRNA". It matches the Rfam family "Bacterial small subunit ribosomal RNA", at positions 51 to 921 of the family's 1533-position model. The record is from RNAcentral.